Molecule: ribosomal RNA, 254 nt
Filed under: uncultured bacterium
Lineage: Bacteria
Description: partial 16S ribosomal RNA
Rfam family: Bacterial small subunit ribosomal RNA
Source: RNAcentral
UACAGAGGUGGCAAGCGUUGUUCGGAAUUACUGGGCGUAAAGGGCGCGUAGGCGGUCUUGUAAGUCCUGUGUGAAAUCCCUCGGCUCAACUGAGGAACUGCACGGGAAACUGCUUGGCUUGAGUUCGGGAGAGGGAAGCGGAAUUCCGGGUGUAGCGGUGAAAUGCGUAGAUAUCAAGAGGAACACCUGAGGCGAAGGCGGGUUGCUAGGCUGACACUGACGCUGAGUGCGCGAAAGCCAGGGGAGCAAACGGG